GAUGAACGCUGGCGGCGUGCCUAAUACAUGCAAGUCGAGCGAACAGACGAGGAGCUUGCUCCUCUGACGUUAGCGGCGGACGGGUGAGUGACACGUGGAUAACCUACCUAUAAGACUGGGAUAACUUCGGGAAACCGGAGCUAAUACCGGAUAACAUGUUGAACCGCAUGGUUCAACAGUGAAAGACGGUCUUGCUGUCACUUAUAGAUGGAUCCGCGCCGCAUUAGCUAGUCGGGAAGGUAACGGCUUACCAAGGCAACGAUGCGUACCCGACCUGAGAGGGUGGACGCCCACACUGGAAGUGAGACAGGGUCCAGACUCCGAGGGGAGGCAGCAGUAGGGAAUCUUCCGCAAGGGGCGAAAGCCGGACGGAGCAACGCCGCGUGAGUGAAGAAGGUCUUCGGAUCGUAAAACUCUGUUAUUAGGGAAGAACAAAUGUGUAAGUAACUAUGCACGUCUUGACGGUACCUAAUCAGAAAGCCACGGCUAACUACGUG
RNAcentral lists this ribosomal RNA (497 nucleotides) under uncultured bacterium. Its description in RNAcentral is "partial 16S ribosomal RNA". It matches the Rfam family "Bacterial small subunit ribosomal RNA", at positions 28 to 507 of the family's 1533-position model. The record is from RNAcentral.